GCGCUCUUAGUUCAGUUGGUUGAAGGGGGUUUCCCCAAAACCCCGAGUCGUAGGUUCAAAUCUACAGAGCGUG
Molecule: non-coding RNA, 73 nt
Organism: Centaurea solstitialis (yellow star-thistle)
Lineage: Eukaryota; Viridiplantae; Streptophyta; Magnoliopsida; Asterales; Asteraceae
Source: the annotation of a GenBank genome assembly